This 497-nucleotide ribosomal RNA is filed under the name uncultured bacterium. RNAcentral's name for it is "partial 16S ribosomal RNA". It matches the Rfam family "Bacterial small subunit ribosomal RNA", at positions 28 to 507 of the family's 1533-position model. The record is from RNAcentral.
GAUGAACGCUGGCGGCGUGCCUAAUACAUGCAAGUCGAGCGAACAGAUGAGGAGCUUGCUCCUCUGACGUUAGCGGCGGACGGGUGAGUAACACGUGGAUAACCUACCUAUAAGACUGGGAUAACUUCGGGAAACCGGAGCUAAUACCGGAUAAUAUAUUGAACCGCAUGGUUCAAUAGUGAAAGACGGUUUUGCUGCCACUUAUAGAUGGAUCCGCGCCGCAUUAGCUAGUUGGUAAGGUAACGGCUUACCAAGGCAACGAUGCGUAGCCGACCUGAGAGGGUGAUCGGCCACACUGGAACUGAGACACGGUCCAGACUCCUACGGGAGGCAGCAGUAGGGAAUCGUCCGCAAUGGGCGAAAGCCUGACGGAGCAACGCCGCGUGAGUGAUGAAGGUCUUCGGAUCGUAAGACUCUGUUAUUAGGGAAGAACAAAUGUGUAAGUAACUAUGCACGUCUUGACGGUACCUAAUCAGAAAGCCACGGCUAACUACGUG